This 468-nucleotide ribosomal RNA is filed under the name uncultured bacterium. RNAcentral describes it as "partial 16S ribosomal RNA". It matches the Rfam family "Bacterial small subunit ribosomal RNA", at positions 28 to 507 of the family's 1533-position model. The record is from RNAcentral.
GACGAACGCUGGCGGCGUGCUUAACACAUGCAAGUCGAACGGAAAGGCCCUGCUUUUGUGGGGUGCUCGAGUGGCGAACGGGUGAGUAACACGUGAGUAACCUGCCCUUGACUUUGGGAUAACUUCAGGAAACUGGGGCUAAUACCGGAUAGGAGCUCCUGCUGCAUGGUGGGGGUUGGAAAGUUUCGGCGGUUGGGGAUGGACUCGCGGCUUAUCAGCUUGUUGGUGGGGUAGUGGCUUACCAAGGCUUUGACGGGUAGCCGGCCUGAGAGGGUGACCGGCCACAUUGGGACUGAGAUACGGCCCAGACUCCUACGGGAGGCAGCGGUGGGGAGUAUUGCACAAUGGGCGGAAGCCUGAUGCAGCAACGCCGCGUGCGGGAUGACGGCCUUCGGGUUGUGAACCGCUUUCGCCUGUGACGAAGCGUGAGUGACGGUAAUGGGUAAAGAAGCACCGGCUAACUACGUG